This is a long non-coding RNA of Cercocebus atys (sooty mangabey), 1040 nucleotides long. RefSeq lists it as uncharacterized. The transcript has 4 exons. The record is from RefSeq and is a predicted model, not a curated record. Lineage: Eukaryota; Metazoa; Chordata; Mammalia; Primates; Cercopithecidae.
UCUUCUAAAUCAACAAUAAAGAAAAAAAUGAAAUAAAGGUCAAGGUUUUGAUACACUGCUUCUAAAAUACAUCCCAUACUGAGUAAAAUACCAUGAAAUCAUCUGUCAGAACCGACUUUCGUCCAGAGACUACAUUCCAAGAGCGUGAAGACAGCGAAGUGGCUAUUGAUGGUUUUCUUAGAUUCCAAUGCACCUUAAUCAUAGUCACAAGACUGUGCAUUUUCAUCACUGCAGGAGCUGGCAGAAUUUUGUGACAAUCCUGGGAAAUGUUUUCAGAUGGCCCCUUCUAUGAAUUAUGAAUGUUUCACAAAGCUCUAUGAUCCAACCUUCCUUGAUGAAAGGAUGUUAGGUGCUCAAUAAAUGCUUCAUGAAGAAAUGAAUCCAAUAACAUGCCAGGCUGGAUGCACACAGAGUGCCAAUGCAAGUGUUGAAGACCUGCUCCCUAACCCUACUUGGACGAUCUGUUCUAGUCCUUUGGAAGCUUCUUCCUCUGACAGGAUACUAUCCUAGAGAUUAUCCCACUCCCCAGGGAUAAGACUCAAUAAAGAUGGUGAUAAAUUAGGAAAGGGGAGAUGAUGGAGGAACCUGUGGAAGAGGAAAGAGGAGAACAGAAAAUGAGAAGACGAAAUCUAAGUGAGAGCACAUGAAUACGGCAGGAGAUCUAUGAGUCAAGAGGACCUGCACUGAAUGUUUAUCUUAUCAAUGACCCAUAGUAAUGAAAGCCAACUGUGCAAAAAAUAAUAUACCUACAGGAAUCUUGCAAGCUGUAGAAAAAAUCACGGGAUGGUUAUUUUAGAAUAUGGACACAAAUUCUUUAUUUAAAGCAUUAAGUAAUGUUAAUCUAUUCAUUCUGCAAAUACGUAUUAAAUGCUAGCCAUGGAUAUUACUAAACCAUGGAGAUUAUUAAAAAGAGCCUGGAAUCCCUUCCCUCUCUAUCCUGCUCCCUCUCUCAUCACGUGACACAUCAGCUCCCCAUUCGCCUUCUGCUAUGAUUGAAAGCUUCCCGAAGCCCUCACCAGAAGCAGAUGCUGGUGCCACAC